AAAAACUUUUUUCUUUUUUU
RNAcentral lists this microRNA (20 nucleotides) under Corchorus olitorius. RNAcentral's name for it is "bta-miR-24". Lineage: Eukaryota; Viridiplantae; Streptophyta; Magnoliopsida; Malvales; Malvaceae. The record is from RNAcentral.